UACGUAGGUGGCAAGCGUUUGUCCGGAAUUAUUGGGCGUAAAGCGCGCGCAGGUGGUUCCUUAAGUCUGAUGUGAAAGCCCACGGCUCAACCGUGGAGGGUCAUUGGAAACUGGGGAACUUGAGUGCAGAAGAGGAAAGUGGAAUUCCAAGUGUAGCGGUGAAAUGCGUAGAGAUUUGGAGGAACACCAGUGGCGAAGGCAGCUCGCUGGGACGUUACUGACGCUGAGA
RNAcentral lists this ribosomal RNA (229 nucleotides) under uncultured bacterium. RNAcentral describes it as "partial 16S ribosomal RNA". It matches the Rfam family "Bacterial small subunit ribosomal RNA", at positions 524 to 751 of the family's 1533-position model. The record is from RNAcentral.